CGCAGCCUGAUCCAGCAAUGCCGCGUGCAGGAAGAAGGCCUUCGGGUUGUAAACUGCUUUUGUACGGAACGAAAAGGUCUGGGUUAAUACCCUGGGCUCAUGACGGUACCGUAAGAAUAAGCACCGGCUAACUACGUGCCAGCAGCCGCGGUAAUACGUAGGGUGCAAGCGUUAAUCGGAAUUACUGGGCGUAAAGCGUGCGCAGGCGGUUUUGUAAGACAGGCGUGAAAUCCCCGGGCUCAACCUGGGAAGGGCGCUUGUGACUGCAAAGCUGGAGUGCGUGAGAGGGGCAUGGAAUUCCGCGUGUAUGACUGAAGUGCGCACAUUUGCGGAGGAAUUCCAAUGGCCAAAGGAAUCCCCUGGGCCUG
This 368-nucleotide ribosomal RNA is filed under the name Malikia sp. RNAcentral's name for it is "bacterial SSU rRNA". It matches the Rfam family "Bacterial small subunit ribosomal RNA", at positions 376 to 736 of the family's 1533-position model. The record is from RNAcentral. Lineage: Bacteria; Pseudomonadati; Pseudomonadota; Betaproteobacteria; Burkholderiales; Comamonadaceae.